GAGGUUAAGCGACUAAGCGUACACGGUGGAUGCCCUGGCAGUCAGAGGCGAUGAAGGACGUGCUAAUCUGCGAUAAGCGUCGGUGAGGUGAUAUGAACCGUUAUAACCGGCGAUUUCCGAAUGGGGAAACCCAGUGUGUUUCGACACACUAUCAUUAACUGAAUCCAUAGGUUAAUGAGGCGAACCGGGGGAACUGAAACAUCUAAGUACCCCGAGGAAAAGAAAUCAACCGAGAUUCCCCCAGUAGCGGCGAGCGAACGGGGAGGAGCCCAGAGCCUGAAUCAGUGUGUGUGUUAGUGGAAGCGUCUGGAAAGGCGCGCGAUACAGGGUGACAG
RNAcentral lists this ribosomal RNA (335 nucleotides) under Escherichia coli. RNAcentral describes it as "partial 23S ribosomal RNA". It matches the Rfam family "Bacterial large subunit ribosomal RNA", at positions 1 to 370 of the family's 2925-position model. Lineage: Bacteria; Pseudomonadati; Pseudomonadota; Gammaproteobacteria; Enterobacterales; Enterobacteriaceae. The record is from RNAcentral.